GCGCAGGGUGUUUAGGGUUCCGCCGCAUCGCGGGUCAGGUCCGAGAAACGCCACCCGAUCGGCAAAAUCCGGUCGGGCACACGGCGGGCCAAAAUCCCGGGAGGA
Molecule: small RNA, 105 nt
Filed under: Palleronia abyssalis
Lineage: Bacteria; Pseudomonadati; Pseudomonadota; Alphaproteobacteria; Rhodobacterales; Roseobacteraceae
Description: Guanidine-I riboswitch aptamer
Rfam family: Guanidine-I riboswitch aptamer
About the family: This family represents a conserved RNA structure found upstream of the ykkC and yxkD genes in Bacillus subtilis and related genes in other bacteria. The function of this family is unclear although it has been suggested that it may function to switch on efflux pumps and detoxification systems in response to harmful environmental molecules. Nelson showed that this riboswitch senses and responds to guanidine and it was renamed Guanidine-I riboswitch.
Source: Rfam by way of RNAcentral